UACGUAGGGUGCAAGCAUUAAUCGGAUUUAUUGGGCGUAAAGGGCGCGUAGGCGGGAUGAUAAGUCAGAUGUGAAAGCCCGGGGCUCAACCCCGGAACAGCAUUUGAAACUGUCAUUCUAGAGGGUAGGCGGAGAAAAUGGAAUUCCACAAGUAGCGGUGAAAUGCGUAGAUAUGUGGAAGAACACCAGUGGCGAAGGCGAUUUUCUAGCUUAUACCUGACGCUGAGGCGCGAAAGCAAGGGGAG
RNAcentral lists this ribosomal RNA (245 nucleotides) under uncultured Neochlamydia sp. Its description in RNAcentral is "partial 16S ribosomal RNA". It matches the Rfam family "Bacterial small subunit ribosomal RNA", at positions 524 to 768 of the family's 1533-position model. Lineage: Bacteria; Pseudomonadati; Chlamydiota; Chlamydiia; Parachlamydiales; Parachlamydiaceae. The record is from RNAcentral.